Molecule: long non-coding RNA, 251 nt
Filed under: Fukomys damarensis (Damara mole-rat)
Lineage: Eukaryota; Metazoa; Chordata; Mammalia; Rodentia; Bathyergidae
Description: lncRNA (ENSFDAG00000028007.1)
Source: RNAcentral
AUCCCUCAUUGCCCCUAGCUGUCUUAUUUUAAUUCUCACAAAGCAGAUUGAGGAUUCUGAUCCUCCUGGUGACCCAAAUGCUGAGCAGAGCUACUGCUGAGGACAUGCAUUCCAGCUGUGCCCAGGGCCUGACUGUGUGGGCUAAAGGUAUGGAAGGCAAGAGGAAAAUGAUUCCCCCCUCCCCACCACCUGAAGAAGCUAAUUGUGAGGAGAACAGAGCCACCAUUGCUCCUAGGAGCCAAGACCCAGCC